AUUAAAUUCAUUUUUUAUACUUGCAGUUCAGGCGAGUAAUCUGCUAAAAGAAAAUGCUCCUAUAAUACCAAAGAAAAAUGUCCAGGAGAUUUUAGCAAAUAUACUUCCUGAUGAAUUUGUUCCUGAAAGACCAAACAGCCCUGAGCCAUCAACUCCAAUGCAAGUUGAUUAAUCAACCAACACAGAUGAAGACGAAAGACUUCUAAAAACACAAGUCGAACUUAAGGAGUUGCAAUUAAAACAUAAUAAGGUCCUAACCGAAAAUUAUGUUAUACAAAAAGAAAUGGAUGCCUUUAGCUAAAUAUUUACGCCGGGGCAAAGGAAAAAGCUGCAAAGGGCCAAGCGUGUUAAGUGGAUUAUAGAGGAUGUUUCCCAAGCAAUUGCUAUUUACGCAAGUGGCCCAAAAGCCUAUAGGCUUCUUCUUAAAAAAAAGUAUCCACUUCCUGCCGUAUCAACUUUAAGAUCUUGGGCAGGAAAAAUUGACAAAAGUCAAACAUUUUUGGUGAAAGGGUGUUUUUUUCGAAGAGACAGUAAAAUCUGCAAUUGGUCCCAAAAUGCCAAUGAUUCAUUUUAUGUAUGGUUUUGAUGACAAAUUAAACAUUUAUAGAUACGUUCUUACACGUUUUACACGAAUCAUUGGUUUUUUGGGACCAAUUGCACAUUUGACUGUCUCUUCGAAAAAAAAAACACCCUCCCACCAAAAAUUUUUUUUAUGAAAACUCUUUAUUCUGGCUUUCUUU
Episyrphus balteatus (marmalade hoverfly) is the source of this 740-nucleotide long non-coding RNA. RefSeq lists it as uncharacterized. The record is from RefSeq and is a predicted model, not a curated record. Lineage: Eukaryota; Metazoa; Arthropoda; Insecta; Diptera; Syrphidae. The transcript is spliced from 3 exons.